ACGCUCGACACCUACGGGAGGCAGCAGUGGGGAAUAUUGCACAAUGGGGGAAACCCUGAUGCAGCGACGCCGCGUGAGCGAAGAAGUAUUUCGGUAUGUAAAGCUCUAUCAGCAGGGAAGAAGAAAGACGGUACCUGACUAAGAAGCCCCGGCUAACUACGUGCCGGCAGCCGAGGUAAUCUGAGCGGGCUGGCAAGGC
This 199-nucleotide ribosomal RNA is filed under the name uncultured bacterium. RNAcentral describes it as "partial 16S ribosomal RNA". It matches the Rfam family "Bacterial small subunit ribosomal RNA", at positions 328 to 539 of the family's 1533-position model. The record is from RNAcentral.